UUAGCUACCCCUAUAAUUACUAAUGACCAUUGUCACCUUUGCAGACUUUAAAGCCAUUACAGGACGGUUCCAAUUUCUACAGUAAAGCAGAGCUUUGGUUCGUUGGAAAGCUUAAAACGCCGAAUGGCGAUUACAGCAUUCCGAAAAUCGUUGAAUAGCAAUUCAAGGGAAGAGGUGUCGAAUUGGCUAUUCCAACCUUUCCACCGAAUGACCUUCUUUUCCCUUUCGAAAACACCCUCACACUGAAAUUUCUCAACGGUUUCACUUUUUUUUCCUUAGCCAUCAACAAUCCCACGCUCAAAUCAACCUGAAAGGAAGCAAAUCAACUUGAAGGCCAAAGACCCACACUUCAUUUACCACUCCUAAGCGAUUCCAACCUAUCACUGGAAUCGAUUGAUGAGAAUGCAAGUCGCCGUAUGGAGGCAGUGAUUUCUGAAGCUUUACAUACAAUUGACACAAUGAACAAGCGAGUGAUUGCAAGGUAUGUUUCUAAAGCUGAGGAUAUUGUUGACACAAUGAUAAAGCGAGACAUUGAGCAAGGGUUCUUGAAAACAGUUAUACCUCAAGGGCAGCACAGCUUCGUCAGUAAAUGGUCUGUAAGGACUUGUCUGCAGAUUUGUUGAUCUCAUCUUAGAUAUUGUUUUAUAGUUAACUUGGAUAUUAUGCGCCAAGAUGGUUCAUAUCCUAUGGGAAAUGUGCCUCAACCCGUCUGGACUGCUCCUAUGUCUACCACCGAUUCCUGCUACUACUGGUCAGGUGAACUAUUCAAUGAUAUAGUGGGAAGCCCAUAUUACAUGGCUCCAGAGGUUCUUAAACGUAACUAUAUGUCUGAAGUGCUGGAAUUAUAGUCUAUAUUUUACUUUGUGGUGUGCCACCAUUCUGGGAAGAGACUGAGCAGGGGGUGGCACAAGCAAUUAUUCGCUCUGCUAUUGACUUUAAGAGGGACCCAUGGCCUAAGGUUUCGGGCAAUGCAAAGGACCUUGUAAAGAAAAUGCUUAAUCCUGAUCCAAAGGAGCGUCUUACAAUACAGGAAGUGCUUGAACAUCCAUGGCUACAAAAUGCUAAGAAAGUACUCAAUGUUCCGUUGGGUGAGACUGUGAAAGCUAGGCUCAAACAAUUUUCUAUAAUGAACAAGCUGAAUAAGAGAGCUCUAAGGGUAAGAAUCCACUUGAUAUAUAUUUUCUAUAAUGAACAAUUUUCUAUCCUUCUUUUAAGUACUUUUUCGAAUUAUGUAAAUUGAGAGUAUGGUUCCACUUGGAUUUGGAUUUCAUUUUUCUUUUGCAUGUCAUUAAUUAUUUAUAUUUUGUGUCGUCAAGUUAGUAUAUGAGUUUGACUUUCUAAGAAUAGCAAUUGUUACGGAGAGAAUUUGCUAUUUCUUAUACGAGAAUAAUAUAAAGAACUAUGAGUUUUUGAAUAACAUAAAAUGAGGAAUGGCUUUUGAGACAAA
Long non-coding RNA from Gossypium arboreum, 1447 nucleotides. RefSeq lists it as uncharacterized. The transcript has 7 exons. NCBI's taxonomy places the organism in Eukaryota, Viridiplantae, Streptophyta, Magnoliopsida, Malvales, Malvaceae. The record is from RefSeq and is a predicted model, not a curated record.